AAGUGUGGUUAAUUCACAUUGGGGGC
This 26-nucleotide microRNA is filed under the name Tribolium castaneum (red flour beetle). RNAcentral's name for it is "tca-miR-3892-3p". Lineage: Eukaryota; Metazoa; Arthropoda; Insecta; Coleoptera; Tenebrionidae. The record is from miRBase by way of RNAcentral.